RNAcentral lists this ribosomal RNA (411 nucleotides) under Seres armipes. RNAcentral describes it as "partial 28S rRNA". Lineage: Eukaryota; Metazoa; Arthropoda; Insecta; Hymenoptera; Pteromalidae. The record is from RNAcentral.
UCGAAUGUAAGAGCCGGUCCGAGGACAUCGUCGACUAACGGCCACGCCAAGCGCCCGGCAACGCACUAGGUCCGUAAAUCCGAGCGAGACGAGCCUGCCGACGAGCCAGAACGCACUUAAUGCGGCCCAAUACCGUUUCAUAGCGAUCUCAUACCGCCGGGCAGCCGGCCCAGACAACCGGUGGUCUGCCGCGUGCGCGCUUGCGCGCGACGAGACAGUUGGCCAACCGGCCGUAGGCCAGCACCCAACGGGUCGCGACGUCCUACUAGGGGAGAAGUGCACGCCGACGACGCCAGUCAUACCGCAGUAAAGCGUGACGCGGAACCGAAAUCCCGGCCAUCGAAUCCACACGGAAGCCAGCGCCGCUGAGGAUGAAUCUCCCCAUUCGAUCUUUUGGGUUUCUCAGGUUUA